RNAcentral lists this ribosomal RNA (421 nucleotides) under uncultured bacterium. Its description in RNAcentral is "bacterial SSU rRNA". It matches the Rfam family "Bacterial small subunit ribosomal RNA", at positions 354 to 772 of the family's 1533-position model. The record is from RNAcentral.
GUGGGGAAUAUUGGUCAAUGGACGCAAGUCUGAACCAGCCAUGCCGCGUGGAGGAUGAAGGUCCUCUGGACUGUAAACUUCUUUUAUCUGGGACGACACACUCCUAUUCUUAGGGGCCUGACGGUACCAGAUGAAUACGCAACGGCUAACUCCGUGCCAGCAGCCGCGGUAAUACGGAGGGUGCAAGCGUUAUCCGGAUUCACUGGGUUAAAAGGGUGCGUAGGUGGGUAUGUAAGUCAGUGGUGAAAUCCCCGAGCUUAACUUGGGAACUGCCGUUGAUACUAUAUAUCUUGAAUGUCGUAGAGGUAAGCGGAAUAUGUCAUGUAGCGGUGAAAUGCUUAGAGAUGACAUAGAACACCAAUUGCGAAGGCAGCUUGCUAUGCGAUUAUUGACACUGAGGCACGAAAGCGUGGGUAGCAAA